RNAcentral lists this transfer RNA (69 nucleotides) under Platemys platycephala. Its description in RNAcentral is "tRNA-Pro". The record is from RNAcentral. Lineage: Eukaryota; Metazoa; Chordata; Testudines; Chelidae.
CAGAAGAUAGUUUAAUGAAAUUCCGGUUUUGGGGACCGGAGAUGAGAUUUACAAGUUUUUCUCUUUUGA